UUUGGUCAAGCUACAAAGGGUCUAUGCACGGAUGACUUGGUUAGAUGAGGCGAUGAAGGACGGGGUAAGCACCGAUAUGUCUCGGGUAGUCGCAAACAGGCUUUGAUCCGAGAGAUUCCGAAUGGGGCAACCUAACACUAGUUAUAUAGUGUUAUCCCGCAGAUGAAUUCAUAGUCCGCGGGAGGCGAUACCAGGGGAAUUGAAACAUCUAAGUACCCUGAGGAAAAGAAAUCUUCAUGAGAUUCCCCCAGUAGCGGCGAGCGAAAAGGGAAGAGCCUAAAUCCGCCAAAGCAAUUUGGCGGAGGUUGUGGGACCUCGAUGUGGGAUUGUGGAUGGGUAGUAGAAGCAUAUGGAAAGAUGCGCCAAAGAGAGUGAAAGCCUCGUAAACAAAACCUUGAAGCACCCUAGGGGUAUCCCAAGUACUACGGGACACGGGAAAUCCUGUAGGAAUCUGGGCCGACCACGGUCUAAGGCUAAACACUACAUCUAGACCGAUAGUGCAGAAGUACCGUGAGGGAAAGUUGAAAAGAACCCCGGUGAGGGGAGUGAAAUAGAACCUGAAAUCAUAGACCUACAAGCGGUAGAAGGGCUAUGUCCGCCAUAUUAUGUGGCGGAAAUGCCUGACUGCGUACCUUUUGCAUAAUGGUCCGACGAGUUACUAUGCGGUGCGAGCUUAAGGCGUAGCAAUACGUUGUAAGCGUAGCGAAAGCGAGUCCUAAUCGGGCGCUUUCCGCCACAAUACGUGGCGGAAGUACCGUAUAGUAGACCCGAAGCUGAGUGAUCUACCCAUAGCCAGAGUGAAGUCCCGCGAAAGCGGGAUGGAGGCUCGAACCCGUCAGUGUUGAAAAACUGUGGGAUGAGCUGUGGGUCGGAGCGAAAGACUAAACAAACUCAGAAAUUGCUGGUUCUCCCCGAAAUAUUUCUAGGGAUAGCCUCGGGUUAUUAAAUAGUGGGGGUAGAGUGCUGAAUGGGCUACGGGACCUUACCAGGUUGCUGAGCCCAACCAAACUCCGAAUACCACUUCCGUCACAAUACGUGGCGGACCCGCCAAUCUUUUUGGCGGGAUUUUUAUCCCGGGAGUAAGACGCUGGGGGCUAAGCUCCAGCGUCUAAAGGGUAUCAGCCCAGACCGCCAGCUAAGGUCCCUAAACAUAGACUAAGUGGUAAAGGAUGUGAUUUCGCUUUGACAACCAGGAUGUUGGCUCAGAGGCAGCCAUCAUUUAAAGAGUGCGUAACAGCUCACUGGUCGAGCGAUCUCGCGCCAAAGAUGAUCGGGGCUUAAGUCUAUCCGUCACAAUACGUGGCGGGCCCGCCAAAGUUUUUUGGCGGGUUACCGAAGCUGUGGUUCGCCAAAUUUUUUUUGGCGGAGGUAGGGGAGCGUGGUUUGACAAGUGAAGAUGUACCGUAAGGAGCAUUGGAUGUCAAACCAGUGAUUAUGUCGGAAUGAGUAGCGAAAACCAGGGCGAGAAACCCUGGCACCGAAAGUCCAAGGUUUCCUGGGGAAGGUUAAUCCGCCCAGGGUUAGUCGAGCCUAAGCCGAGGCCGGAUGGCGUAGGUGAUGGAUAAUCCGUUAAUAUUCGGAUACCAGCUAGUCGGCGUUAAAACUUUUUGUAUGACGCGUGGUGUGUUUAAGGCUGCUGAGUGUUGGAAGUCUCAGUUCUUUUCGUCGCAAGGCGAAGAGGGGACCCUGAGCGCAAGCGAGGGGGAAGUGUCUUAAAACAUGCUGCCAAGAAAAGUACAAAAGGGAGUCGUCUAGUUGUUCGUACCGUAAUCCGACACAGGUAGACCUCCAGAGAAUGGUAAGGUGCUCGAGAUAACUCUCGUUAAGGAACUCGGCAAAAUAGCCUCGUAAGUUCGCAACAAGAGGUCCCGUCAUGAAUAAUGGCGGGCUCAGUAAAGUGGCCCGGGUGACUGUUUAGCAAAAACACAGCACUCUGCAAACUCGAAAGAGGAAGUAUAGGGUGUGACACCUGCCCGGUGCUGGAAGGUUAAGGGGAUGAGUUAACGAGUCGCAAGAUUUGUGAAGCUCUGAACCGAAGCCCCAGUAAACGGCGGCCGUAACUAUAACGGUCCUAAGGUGAAAUUUGUCGCCUUAGUAAAACCUGGCUAUAUGCUGGAAAGUCUGAGUAUCUCGUAUUACUACUUGAUUAUUUAUUUGCUCAAUAAUAUAAUAAAUAUUCAAGAGUAAAAAUAUAUGAGUGCAGAUAACCAGCAGGAAAGACUAAGAUUUGCGGGGUGGAAAGAAACCCGCCAGAAUCUUGGUAUCCCCAGAGACUGUACGCCAAGGUCCUAAUAAAUUAGGAUAAGAUACAGUCCGUACUCCAUAGCGAUAUGGAGAGACUAGUAGAAAUAACUAGUCCACCUACUAAAAUAGGUCAUAAAGUAACAGAAUAGAGCGAAAUUCCUUGUGGGGUAAGUUCCCACGCGCACGAAUGGUGUAACAACUUGGGCGCUGUCUCAACGAGAGACUCGGCGAAAUUGUAGUGGCGGUGAAGAUGCCGUCUACCCGCAUCAAGACGAAAAGACCCCAGAACCUUUACUGCAACCUGCUAUUGAAAUUUGGUUCAAUAUGUGUAGCAUAGGUGGGAGGCUUUGAAGCCCUGGCGCUAGCUAGGGCAGAGCCGCAAUGUGAAAUACCACCCUUAUUGCACUAAGUUUCUAACCACUUGCCGUGAAUCCGGCGGAGGGACAGUGACAGGCGGGCAGUUUGACUGGGGCGGUUCCUUUCUAAAAGAUAACGAAAGGGCCCAAAGGUUGGCUCAGGGCGUUCGGCAAUCGCCCGUGGAGUGUAAGCGCAUAAGCCAGCUUGACUGCGAGUCCGGCAGGACGAGCAGAUACGAAAGUAGGGGCUAGUGAUCCGGUGGUUGAACGUGGAAUCGCCAUCGCUCAACGGAUAAUAGGUACUCUGGGGAUAA
Molecule: ribosomal RNA, 2914 nt
Filed under: Nitrospirota bacterium
Lineage: Bacteria; Pseudomonadati; Nitrospirota
Description: Nitrospirae bacterium (hot springs metagenome) partial 23S ribosomal RNA
Rfam family: Bacterial large subunit ribosomal RNA
Source: RNAcentral